UGUUGAUGUAAUUAAUUCAAUAAUUCAACCUGAGGCCCCUAAGAGGAGACCAAUAGUCCCGCCGAUAUCGCAAAGCAGCGAGAUGAUGUCAUACGCAAAUUCUUCUUUUGUUUCCUCAUACGUCAUGUCGGUAUCAGCAUUCGUUUCGUAAAGGUACUGUGAACAGGUGCUGGAAUAUCCGCAUUGACAGGCAGCCGGAUGCCAUCCAUUACCUUCCCACAAUAAAUCUUUCUGCAAGUCUUCGGCAAAAAGCAACUGCUGUGAAGUGUUACAGUACGGUACGGAUGUGAAAUUCGGUAAAUUCAUGUACGGCAUUCUAUAUAUUAUGAUGGCGUAUAUAAGAAACAAACUUAAUUGGAAAAUAAUUCUCUCAAUUUCCAUUUUAAUUUUAAAAUACCGACAUCCCGAUUUCUUGAUCAUUUUUUCGUGAAAACAACGGCUGAUGCAACGUGAAACUGUUUUGGACUCGUCAAAAGAACAAGGUGCAUGGUAUUUACUCUCGGCUUGAAAGUGUUUGAGGGAAACGGCGACAUCCUUGUUCCAGCCCUGUUCCAGAAAGAAGCCGUGAGUCAAUGCGCGGAUGUCGUGAGUGCUGUACCGAUCGCUGAUCAUUAUGACCUAUAUAGCGUUUGAAUUAUUCGCAUAAUUGUUAUUUUACACAAUUUGAUGUUGAAACCAUAAAAUUGGCCACUGACUGUCACCGGCAAUCCGGGGAAAUGGAGGCAGUAACCCAAAAUCGUGAAAAUUCGCAUUAUUUUCCCGUUUUCCGUGCAAUUGACCCUCGCCUGCAAACACUUUAUAACACACAGCAAUUCUCAUGACGUCGUCUUCCAAUUCCCAGCCGGCUAGCUUCCACAAAGUGACUACGUCGUACACGUCAGCCAGUUUGUACAUGGCAUCGACGGGAUCUCCAAAUUGUUCUCCUUCUGGAAAAUGAACUUCGUAGAGCGAUUGGAGCUUAACCAGUACCGGUAUAAUUGAAUAAUCCAAGAGGACUUACAAAGUGUCGCGAUAAGGGCAGAGUGUGAUGGAUGGAAACAUUAGCGAAUCAUUUCUUAUGAAUCGCACUGUAGUCGAAACCGGUCGAGUCUACGCGCAAAUGAAAAUAAAUUCUGAAUUAGUAAAA
This 1126-nucleotide long non-coding RNA is filed under the name Daphnia pulex (common water flea). Its description in RNAcentral is "uncharacterized LOC124200334, transcript variant X1". The record is from RNAcentral. Lineage: Eukaryota; Metazoa; Arthropoda; Branchiopoda; Diplostraca; Daphniidae.